UUUUCAUCUUUUGUUGCAAAAAUCAACUUUUUUUUGCUUUUAAUGAGGCUAAUUGAGCAUUUGCUUGAAAUUUUUAUCCAUUUUUUAAUUAGUGAUUUAAUCCUGUUCGCAGAAUCAAAAUUAAUGGUCAAAUAUUUAAUAUUCAGAAUCAAAAAAUUGCAGUGGAAGUUUUUCUCGUCUGUUUCUUUACGUAGUGUCAGCUAAUGUUGAUGGUGAUGGAUAUCCUUGAUUUACUUACUUGAUUAAAGUCAUCAUCUUGCAGAAUAUAAAAUGCAUCAGAUUCUGAUGGAGAUGAAGAACCAGAUGAUGUAGAUGACGAAUUCAGAGGAAAAGUUACAUUAGCCCUUGGACCUGCAGCAGAAAUCGGUGAUGAAUUUGGUGCCACAGUUGACGAUGAAGAAAUGUUUCAAUUAGAUGAAGCAAUAUUGGUCUUGUGUCCAGUUUCAUCUUUGCUUUAAAAAAGGUUUUGAUAUUGCAACAAAAAUGUUUACCUUGAAUGUAAAUUGUGAAAAGGUUAAAAAGAGUGUAAAAGGUUGUUGCUUUCUCAAGAAAGGUCCAGUGUAAUUCAUAGUUAAGGUUGCCACAUGGCUCCUUUAAGAUCACAGUAGUAACUUUUAUCUUUCUUUCUUUCUCUUCUUUCUUUCUUUAGACGGGCAGACGGAAGUUGGUCUGCAAGCCUCUCUUUUACCUGAAACCUUUCUUUACCGAGAAAAACCAAACCUUUAAGACGGAAAGUUAAUUAUGGCUUCAAUGGCGAGCACAAGUUAAGCGAGACGUUCAAGAUGGAACAGACUCUUGGAGCAUCUUAGUAGAGCAGAUGUUUGUGUCCACUUUUUCUUUAGGCUUCUCAAAGUGAAUGAGUAAGUGACCCACAGGUCCACUUUUUCCCGCCAAAAAAGCAUGUCAAAUGUCAAGACAAGUUAAAAAUGAUGGUACAGACGUUAGUAAUAUUACUUGUACUACAUCUUUCAAAACGUUUCACCUUUCAUUUCUGGAAAAUAUUUCAACUCCACCUUUAACCAGAUCAAGGUGAUUUUACUAAAUUUACCUAAAGACAGACGACCAAAUCAAAUAAUUUACUUGCAAAUAUGCAAACCGCUUGGAGCCAGAAAAUGGGGCUGAAUCUUCAUUAUCCAUUGAAACUGGAUCAAUCAUUGGGACAUCUUUUACUUAGAUUAUUGUAAUUAGAUGAUUUUCAAAUUGAAUUUCAAUAAGGAUUGUUAUGGCUUUAAUGGUAAUGGAUACGUGUUUAAAAGCCACAAUGGACGGAAAUUGAUUUACUCCAACGAAUACAUAGAGGAAAUAUAAUUACAACGAAUAAUAUUUAUUAUCAUUAUUAAUGGUGAUAUUAUAACAAAAGACAAAUGGCUAAUUGAAUGUCAUUAGCUAACAAUCUUGUGACGAUGAUAAUAUACAAUUGUGAAGAUUACUCGAUGCGAAACAAUAUUAUCUUGGUUGCAAAAAGUAAAUUUAAUCUUGAUUGUCGGUGUAGAUAGACAGAUACUUCAGUAUCAUAAUCAUUAUUUAAAUUAACCAAUUUCAUAAUGUCAUUCAUUUCCGUUUACAUAGGGAUAGUUUGAUGCGGAAUCGUUACUAACCAGAUUGCGCUACGAUUUGUUUACUAUUGGAGCGAAACUGGUAACAUCCGAUUUUUUUAAGACGAGAGAUAAUGAACGGAAAUGUAUAAAUAAGUAACGAAGCCGAAUGAUGAUGCUGAUGAUGAGAAUGAUGAGAAGAAAGUAACGUAGAAAGUACAACAUCCUGUCGGUAAUCAACCUCAUAUUGGCCAGUUUUACCUUUCUUUUUAGGUCAUUAACUGUCUGCAAGGUUAGACUCUUCUCAUUAGCAGCUAAGAGACACUUGGACUGAGUGGGAGGAAAAUGAAGAUGAUUUGUUGACCCUUUGGCCAUUUUAAGAGACACCUUAAUGUUUGUUUAAACCUUGUUGGCUGUCACCGUCCAUGUACCUAUUUUAAUUGUCCCAGAACAUGUUAAUGUCGCAAAUAAAGGCUCCAACUCUUUCCUCUUUUUGU
Non-coding RNA from Tetranychus urticae (two-spotted spider mite), 2032 nucleotides. The record is from RefSeq and is a predicted model, not a curated record. NCBI's taxonomy places the organism in Eukaryota, Metazoa, Arthropoda, Arachnida, Trombidiformes, Tetranychidae.